UACGUAUGGUGCAAGCGUUAUCCGGAUUUACUGGGUGUAAAGGGAGCGCAGGCGGCACGGCAAGCCUGAUGUGAAAGCCCGCGGCCCAACCGCGGGACUGCAUUGGGAACUACCGGGCUGGAGUGCCGGAGAGGUAGGCGGAAUUCCUAGUGUAGCGGCGAAAUGCGUAGAUAUUAGGAGGAACACCAGUGGCGAAGGCGGCCUACUGGACGGUGACUGACGCUGAGGCUCGAAAGCGUGGGGAGCAAACAGG
Molecule: ribosomal RNA, 253 nt
Filed under: uncultured bacterium
Lineage: Bacteria
Description: partial 16S ribosomal RNA
Rfam family: Bacterial small subunit ribosomal RNA
Source: RNAcentral